CGCUGUGCUCUCCGCACUCCGAAGCCGGCGCCUGCCGCUGUGCGGAUGCGUGUGGACGAGUCCUCGUGAAAACAGCUCCCGACGUUUCCAAAAAAAGCACCAAACCCAAACAAACCGCCCACUUGGAUAAUUAAAACGGCUUCCUGGCACAGAGACAGCUUUUCCAAGGCUAUUGCAGACAUGAGAGAUGAAGCUGUAACUGUGAGGAAGAACCCAUGGCAAAGAAGUUCAUUAAAAUUAUGGCCAGAAGAUGCUGUGUCCCAAGGGAGGAACCCUGUAUCUGCAGAAGCAGCACUGUGGAGGAGAAUCCACAUCAGAGAUGUUCAUUGAGGACUGUGUCUUGUGUGAGGGACCCUGUAUCGGCAGAAGCUGCAGCUGCGGGGAAGAACACACACCAGAGAAGUUCAUUAAGGACUGUGUCCUGGGAGAGGAACCUCAUAUCAGAGCAGGGGAAGAAUGCAAGGAGUCAUCCUCAUCUGAGAAGAGAGAAGCGGCAGAGCCCAUCUGUGAGAGACUGACCACAUCCCCCAUUCCCUGCCCCCCUGAGCUGAUGAAGGAGGAAGAAGUAGAGAUACUGGGAGCAGUGAGCUGGACCCAGGAAGAAAGGAGGGAUGGGGAAGGGACAUCUUAAAAUGCUGGUUGUAAUUUUCUCAUCAUCCUACUCCCUUUUUGCUUUUAUUCCAUUCUGUUU
Long non-coding RNA from Colius striatus (speckled mousebird), 691 nucleotides. RefSeq lists it as uncharacterized. The record is from RefSeq and is a predicted model, not a curated record. The transcript is spliced from 3 exons. NCBI's taxonomy places the organism in Eukaryota, Metazoa, Chordata, Aves, Coliiformes, Coliidae.